RNAcentral lists this ribosomal RNA (1998 nucleotides) under Plasmodium elongatum. RNAcentral describes it as "SSU rRNA". It matches the Rfam family "Eukaryotic small subunit ribosomal RNA". The record is from RNAcentral. Lineage: Eukaryota; Apicomplexa; Aconoidasida; Haemosporida; Plasmodiidae.
AAGUAUAUAUAUAUUUAUUAUAUAGAAACUGCGAACGGCUCAUUAAAACAGUUAUAAUCUAUUUGACAUUUUUUUAUAAGGAUAACUACGGAAAAGCUGUAGCUAAUACUUGACCGAUUGUUCUAUUGAACCUUCGGGUUCGGUAGAAUAUGUACUUGUUAAGCCUUAUAAGAAAAAAGUUUUAACUUAAGGAAUUAUAACAAAGAAGCAACACAUAAUAAAACUCUGUUUUAUUUAGUGUGUAUCAAUCGAGUUUCUGACCUAUCAGCUUUUGAUGUUAGGGUAUUGGCCUAACAUGGCUUUGAUGACGGGUAACGGGGAAUUAGAGUUCGAUUCCGGAGAGGGAGCCUGAGAAAUAGCUACCACAUCUAAGGAAGGCAGCAGGCGCGUAAAUUACCCAAUUCUAAAGAAGAGAGGUAGUGACAAGAAAUAACGAUACAAGACCAAAUUUUGGUUUUGUAAUUGGAUUGAUAGGAAUUUAAAACUUUCCUAAAUAUCAAUUGGAGGGCAAGUCUGGUGCCAGCAGCCGCGGUAAUUCCAGCUCCAAUAGCGUAUAUUAAAAUUGUUGCAGUUAAAACGCUCGUAGUUGAAUUUCAAAGAAUCUUUUUUUGAAGUAAUGCUCUUAUUGGAACUUCAUUACUGGCACUAUGUGCUAUGUUUUGCAAGAUCCGAUAAAUGUGUUCUUCAAAAUAAAAUGGAUUCUUUUUAAAAAUUCUUAUUACAUUUCAUGUGAUUAGAAUUUUUGUUACUUUGAGUAAAUUAGAGUGUUCAAAGCAAACAGUUUAAAACAGCUAAAACUGUGUUUGAAUACUACAGCAUGGAAUAACAAAAUUGAACAAGCUAAAAUUCUGUUCUUUUUUCUUAUUUUGGCUUAGUUACGAUUAACAGGAGUAGUUUGGGGGCAUUCGUAUUCAGAUGUCAGAGGUGAAAUUCUUAGAUUUUCUGGAGACGAACAACUGCGAAAGCAUUUGCCUAAAAUACUUCCAUUAAUCAAGAACGAAAGUUAAGGGAGUGAAGACGAUCAGAUACCGUCGUAAUCUUAACCAUAAACUAUGCCGACUAGGUGUUGGAUGAAAGUAUAUAUAUAAAAGGCGUCCCAAUGUAACAGUUGGGGCACCUUUUAGCUUGCUUCCUUCAGUACCUUAUGAGAAAUCAAAGUCUUUGGGUUCUGGGGCGAGUAUUCGCGCAAGCGAGAAAGUUAAAAGAAUUGACGGAAGGGCACCACCAGGCGUGGAGCUUGCGGCUUAAUUUGACUCAACACGGGAAAACUCACUAGUUUAAGACAAGAGUAGGAUUGACAGAUUAAUAGCUCUUUCUUGAUUUCUUGGAUGGUGAUGCAUGGCCGUUUUUAGUUCGUGAAUAUGAUUUGUCUGGUCAAUUCCGAUAACGAACGAGAUCUUAACCUGCUAAUUAGCGGUAAAUACGCCAUAUUUCUAUGCAAGAGGAAUAUAGAUAAAAUUAACAAAUAUUAGAAAAUAUUAGGAUAUUAUCAAUAUCCUUUUCCCUUUUCUACAUAUUUUGUUUCUUUUUUCUAUUUCUUUUUUGUAUAGAAAUGUAUUUACUUUUUUAAAAGCUUCUUAGAGGGACAUUGUGUGUCUAACACAAGGAAGUUUAAGGCAACAACAGGUCUGUGAUGUCCUUAGAUGAACUAGGCUGCACGCGUGCUACACUGAUAUAUAUAACGAGUUAUUAAAAAUAUACAAGUAUACAUAUAUUUCAUAUGUGUAUAUUUUGUAUACUUUUCCUCCACUGAAAAGUGAAGGUAAUCUUUAUCAAUAUAUAUCGUGAUGGGGAUAGAUUAUUGCAAUUAUUAAUCUUGAACGAGGAAUGCCUAGUAAGCAUGAUUCAUCAGAUUGUGCUGACUACGUCCCUGCCCUUUGUACACACCGCCCGUCGCUCCUACCGAUUGAAAGAUAUGAUGAAUUGUUUGGACAAGAAAAAAUAAAUUUAUAUUUGUUUUUUUUUGGAAAAACCGUAAAUCCUAUCUUUUAAAGGAAG